AUUGAACGCUGGCGGCAGGCCUAACACAUGCAAGUCGAACGGUAACAGGAAGAAGCUUGCUUCUUUGCUGACGAGUGGCGGACGGGUGAGUAAUGUCUGGGAAACUGCCUGAUGGAGGGGGAUAACUACUGGAAACGGUAGCUAAUACCGCAUAAUGUCGCAAGACCAAAGAGGGGGACCUUCGGGCCUCUUGCCAUCGGAUGUGCCCAGAUGGGAUUAGCUAGUAGGUGGGGUAACGGCUCACCUAGGCGACGAUCCCUAGCUGGUCUGAGAGGAUGACCAGCCACACUGGAACUGAGACACGGUCCAGACUCCUACGGGAGGCAGCAGUGGGGAAUAUUGCACAAUGGGCGCAAGCCUGAUGCAGCUAUGCCGCGUGUAUGAAGAAGGCCUUCGGGUUGUAAAGUACUUUCAGCGGGGAGGAAGGGAGUAAAGUUAAUACCUUUGCUCAUUGACGGUACCCGCAGAAGAAGCACCGGCUAACUCCGUG
This 490-nucleotide ribosomal RNA is filed under the name uncultured bacterium. Its description in RNAcentral is "partial 16S ribosomal RNA". It matches the Rfam family "Bacterial small subunit ribosomal RNA", at positions 30 to 507 of the family's 1533-position model. The record is from RNAcentral.